GACGAACGCUGGCGGCGUGCCUAAUACAUGCAAGUCGAGCGGACGAUUCGAAAGCUUGCUUUUGAAUCGUUAGCGGCGGACGGGUGAGUAACACGUGGGCAACCUGCCCUGUAGACGGGGAUAACACCGAGAAAUCGGUGCUAAUACCGGGUAACACGAAAUGUCGCAUGACGUUUCGUUGAAAGGCGGCGCAAGCUGCCGCUACAGGAUGGGCCCGCGGCGCAUUAGCUAGUUGGUGAGGUAACGGCUCACCAAGGCGACGAUGCGUAGCCGACCUGAGAGGGUGAUCGGCCACACUGGGACUGAGACACGGCCCAGACUCCUACGGGAGGCAGCAGUAGGGAAUCUUCCGCAAUGGACGAAAGUCUGACGGAGCAACGCCGCGUGAGCGAAGAAGGCCUUCGGGUCGUAAAGCUCUGUUGUUAGGGAAGAACAAGUAACGUAGUAACUGACGUUACUAUGACGGUACCUAACGAGAAAGCCACGGCUAACUACGUG
This 498-nucleotide ribosomal RNA is filed under the name uncultured bacterium. RNAcentral's name for it is "partial 16S ribosomal RNA". It matches the Rfam family "Bacterial small subunit ribosomal RNA", at positions 28 to 507 of the family's 1533-position model. The record is from RNAcentral.